CGGAGGAUCCAAGCGUUAUCCGGAAUCAUUGGGGUUUAAAGGGUCCGUAGGCGGUUUAGUAAGUCAGUGGUGAAAGCCCAUCGCUCAACGGUGGAACGGCCAUUGAUACUGCUAGACUUGAAUUAUUAGGAAGUAACUAGAAUAUGUAGUGUAGCGGUGAAAUGCUUAGAGAUUACAUGGAAUACCAAUUGCGAAGGCAGGUUACUACUAAUUGAUUGACGCUGAUGGACGAAAGCGUGGGUAGCGAACAGGAUUAGAUACCCUGGUAGUCCACGCCGUAAACGAUGGAUACUAGCUGUUGGGAGCGAUCUCAGUGGCUAAGCGAAAGUGAUAAGUACUCCCACCUGGGGAGUACGUUCGCAAGAAUG
RNAcentral lists this ribosomal RNA (368 nucleotides) under uncultured organism. RNAcentral's name for it is "bacterial SSU rRNA". It matches the Rfam family "Bacterial small subunit ribosomal RNA", at positions 526 to 896 of the family's 1533-position model. The record is from RNAcentral.